CGGCUGGAUUAUUUCAUCAACUCCUGAGGACAUUUUACACAUGUCCUUGUGUUGAGACAGGGCCUCACUCACCCAAGCUGGAGUGCAGUGGCAUGAACACUGCUCACUGCAGCCUCGAACUUCUGGGCUCAAGGCAUCCUCCUGCCUCAGCCUCCCAAGUAGCUGGGACUACAGUUGCACAUCACCAUGCCUGGCUAAUUUUUUUGUAGAGAUGGGGUCUUGCCAUGUUGCCCAGGCUUACACAUGUCCAGAGGCUAAGAGAGGUUAAGUGGUUGCCCACAGCCACUCAGGUGGUUAAGAGCUGGGAUUCAAACCCAAGUCAGCCUCCAGAGCUAAUACUAUUAUGUCUCAGUGUGGUGUGACACUGUGGAAGGCCAAAGGAGGCACCUAGGGGGCGCCUCAGAGGUUUCCAUAGUAUGAACUUUGUAGUUGAACCUUGUAGGAUUGAGUCCAGGAUUGCACCAUGGGGUCCGUCAAAGACCUGCAGGCGGGAGCUGCCGGGAGCUCUGGGGUUCUUAACCCAGACCUCCCGGGGGCCCGCCUCCUCUGUCUGGCUUCCUUGACCCCUGGCGGGCACAGCUGGCUGUGCAGACCAAGCGUGUGGCGGCGCAGGUGGAUGGCGGCGCGCAGGUGCAGCAGGUGCUCAAUAUCGAGUGUCUGCGGGACUUCCUGACGCCCCCGCUGCUGUCCGUGCGCUUCCGGUGAGUCGGGUGCUGCGCGGCCGGUGGGCGGGGCCUCCGGGCGAGGGGCGGGGCCUAACGGAGCCUCCAUUUCCCCCCACCAGGUACGGUGGCGCCCCCCAGGCCCUCACCCUGAAGCUCCCAGUGACCAUCAACAAGUUCUUCCAGCCCACCGAGAUGGCGGCCCAGGAUUUCUUCCAGCGCUGGAAGCAGCUGAGCCUGUGAGGGGUGGGGAGGGGGCGGAGCCAAAGCCGCGCCUCCUGGUGGGCGGGUCGGGCCGUGCAGGUCCCUGACUUGAACCUUCCCGGUCCCCAGCCCUCAACAGGAGGCGCAGAAAAUCUUCAAAGCCAACCACCCCAUGGACGCAGAAGUUACUAAGGCCAAGGUGAGAGACCACGGGCGUUUGCCGGCCUAUGGCUGCUUUGCUUCUCUGAGCCUCUGUUUUCCCAUCUGUAAAGUGGGGCCAAUUCCCAUCCCCAAGGGUUUUUUGGGAUCUGGGAUGCCACUGUGUGGUAACUAAUAGCUCUGGCACACUCUGACGGCGCCGCCCCUCCCUCCCAGCUUCUGGGGUUUGGCUCUGCUCUCCUGGAUAAUGUGGACCCCAACCCUGAGAACUUCGUGGGGGCGGGGAUCAUUCAGACUAAAGCCCUGCAGGUGGGCUGUCUGCUCCGGCUGGAGCCCAACGCCCAGGCCCAGGUGAGUGCUGCUGUGGGAGGCCUGAGGCCGGCAGGAAGGCCGCCUGUCAUCUCUGCGCCCACCCUUCCUGCCUCACUGUUCUUUAAUUCACGUCCCCACUUUGACCUUCCUCCUCUCACAUUUCUUUGUCCACUUUUUCUCCUCUUUAUCCAUCAGUUUUCUCUCCUGUCUCCAACCUCUGGUGUUCCUCUCCUCUUCCUGUCCCUCCCUGAUUUCUACCUUUCCAUAUCCUUUCCAUCUUUCUCUCCUCAUCUUUUAUAAUUUUCUUCCUCUCGGGCUCCUCUGUUGAUUUCAUUCUUCCAUUCUUCUCUCCUGUGUCUUGUAUCACCUUUCUGGCCCCUUUAUCCUUCCUUCUUCUAUCUCCCUUGUGUCCCCACUUCCCUGGGCUCCCCAUCUCCUCUGAGUUCUGCCCCCAAUGCCCCCACCCAGAUGUACCGGCUGACCCUGCGCACCAGCAAGGAGCCCGUCUCCCGUCACCUGUGUGAGCUGCUGGCACAGCAGUUCUGAGCCCUGGACUCUGCCCCCGGGGAUGUGGCCGGCACUGGGCAGCCCCUUGGACUGAGGCAGCUUUGGUGGAUGGGGGACCUCCACUGGUGACAGAGAAGACACCAGGGGUUGGGGGAUGCCUGGGACCUUCCUCCGGCCUUUUGUAUUUUUAUUUUUGUUCAUCUGCUGCUGUUUACAUUCUGGGGGGUUAGGGGGAGCCCCCUCCCUCCCUUUCCCCCCAAGCACAGAGGGGAGAGGGGCCAGGGAAGUGGAUGCCUCCUCCCCUCCCACCCCACCCUGUUGUAGCCCCUCCUACCCCCUCCCCAUCCAGGGGCUGUGUAUUAUUGUGAGCGAAUAAACAGAGAGACGCUAAC
This 2236-nucleotide small RNA is filed under the name Pongo abelii (Sumatran orangutan). Its description in RNAcentral is "retained intron". The record is from RNAcentral. Lineage: Eukaryota; Metazoa; Chordata; Mammalia; Primates; Hominidae.